AUGGCUGUCGUCAGCUCGUGUCGUGAGAUGUUGGGUUAAGUCCCGCAACGAGCGCAACCCCUACCCUUAAUUGCCAUCGGGUUAUGCCGGGCACUUUAGGGGGACUGCCGGUGACAAGCCGGAGGAGGGUGGGGAUGACGUCAAGUCCUCAUGGCCUUUAUGACCAGGGCUACACACGUGUUACAAUGGGAGUUACAGAGGGAAGCUAAGCCGCGAGGCCAUGCCAAUCCCAGAAAAACUUUCUCAGUUCGGAUCGCAGUCUGCAACUCGACUGCGUGAAGCUGGAAUCGCUAGUAAUCGCGGAUCAGCACGCCGCGGUGAAUACGUUCCCGGGCCUUGUACACACCGCCCGUCACACCAUGGGAGCCGACAAGGGCAGAAGUCGCCGAGCUAACCUUCGGGAAGCAGGCGCCCAAGCUGUUGUUGACGACUGGGGUGAAGUCGUAACAAGGUAGCCGUAGGAGAACCUGCGGCUGGAUCACCUCCUUUCUAAGGACGCCGGAGAUUCUUUAUGCUUAUCUCCGGAUAGUCAAAGUCGAAACAGACUCUCUUCUCUUCUCUCCCUUUUCUCCUGUAAAUGCUAAGUUAUGAAUUUAGAGCAACGAAGAAAUUGAAUUCGUUACUGUGGACUCCUAAUUUCAAGAGGGGCCUGUAGCUCAGCUUGGUUAGAGCGCAUCCCUGAUAAGGAUGAGGCCGGUGGUUCAAGUCCACCCAGGCCCACCAGCUCAUUUUUGAUUUAGAUAUGGAUUUAGCGGCUAUGAUGGUGGCAAAUCUGAGGUCUGGCAAUCCAAAUCAAUUAAAAUCGGGGGAUUAGCUCAGCUGGUAGAGCACCUGCUUUGCAAGCAGGAAGUCAGCGGUUCGACCCCGCUAUCCUCCACCAAAUUAAUGAACAGUAAAAAAAGGUGGUGCAGCUUAAGCAGAAGAUAAGCUUCAGCAAUUAUUUAAUAAUUUCUGAAUUUUAUUUUUUAAUAUCUUAGACAAUUAAAUCGGAGGUUUUGGAGACACAAGAUCAAAUGUGAGGGUCUCCAAGGGUUGACGAUCUUGACUGUUAAAGUCAGGUAGUAAGGGCGCAGGGCGGAUGCCUUGGCUCUGGGAAGCGAAGAAGGACGUGGCCAGCUGCGAUAAGCCUCGGGGAAGAGCAAACAUCUUUUGAUCCGGGGAUUUCCGAAUGGGGAAACCCGG
RNAcentral lists this small RNA (1182 nucleotides) under uncultured bacterium. RNAcentral describes it as "bacterial SSU rRNA". The stretch from base 1 to 489 matches the Rfam family "Bacterial small subunit ribosomal RNA", at positions 1045 to 1533 of the family's 1533-position model. The record is from RNAcentral.